UACGUAGGGGGCUAGCGUUGUCCGGAAUCAUUGGGCGUAAAGAGCGUGUAGGCGGUCCGGUAAGUCCGCUGUGAAAGUCGGGGGCUCAACCCUCGAAUGCCGGUGGAUACUGUCGGGCUAGAGUGCGGAAGAGGCGAGUGGAAUUCCUGGUGUAGCGGUGAAAUGCGCAGAUAUCAGGAGGAACACCAAUGGCGAAGGCAGCUCGCUGGGACGUGACUGACGAUGAGACGCGAAAGCGUGGGGAGCAAACAGG
RNAcentral lists this ribosomal RNA (253 nucleotides) under uncultured bacterium. Its description in RNAcentral is "partial 16S ribosomal RNA". It matches the Rfam family "Bacterial small subunit ribosomal RNA", at positions 524 to 776 of the family's 1533-position model. The record is from RNAcentral.